AGGAUAAACGCUGGCGGCGUGCCUAACACAUGCAAGUCGAACGCGCUUUCGGGCUUCGGUGCGAGAGCGAGUGGCGGACGGGUGAGUACCACGUGGGUUAUCUACCGUGAGGUGAGGAAUACCGGCGAGAAAUCGCCGACAAGACCGCAUAGCCUCGGUGCAAGCCGAGGAAAGCUUUCUCGAGAGAGGGAGCGCCACACGAGGAGCCUGCGCCCGAUUAGCUAGCUGGUGGAGUAACGGUUCACCAGGGCGACGAUCGGUAGCUGGUCUGAGAGGACGAUCAGCCACACUGGGAUUGAGAACGGCCCAGACUCCUACGGGGGGCAGCAGUGAGGAAUUUUCGUCAAUGGGGGCAACCCUGAACGAGCAACGCCGCGUGCAGGAAGAAGGUUUUCGGAUCGUAAACUGCUUUUCGUCGGGGAAGAGAACGGACGGUACCCGAGGAAUCAGCCCGGCUAACUACGUGCCAGCAGCCGC
RNAcentral lists this ribosomal RNA (477 nucleotides) under uncultured bacterium. Its description in RNAcentral is "SSU rRNA". It matches the Rfam family "Bacterial small subunit ribosomal RNA", at positions 26 to 518 of the family's 1533-position model. The record is from RNAcentral.